CCUACGGGACGCAGCAGUAGGGAAUCUUCGGCAAUGGACGAAAGUCUGACCGAGCAACGCCGCGUGAGUGAAGAAGGUUUUCGGAUCGUAAAACUCUGUAGUUAGAGAAGAACAAGUAGGACAGUAACUGCUCUUACCUUGACGGUAUCUAACCAGAAAGCCACGGCUAACUACGUGCCAGCAGCCGCGGUAAUACGUAGGUGGCAAGCGUUGUCCGGAUUUAUUGGGCGUAAAGCGAGCGCAGGCGGUCUUUUAAGUCUGAUGUGAAAGCCCUCGGCUCAACCGAGGAAGGGCAUUGGAAACUGGAGGACUCGACUGCAGAAGAGGAGAGUGGAAUUCCAUGUGUAGCGGUGAAAUGCGUAGAUAUAUGGAGGAACACCAGUGGCGAAGGCGACUCUCUGGUCUGUAACUGACGCUGAGGCUCGAAAGCGUGGGGAGCAAACAGGAUUAGAUACCCCAGUAGUU
RNAcentral lists this ribosomal RNA (465 nucleotides) under uncultured bacterium. Its description in RNAcentral is "bacterial SSU rRNA". It matches the Rfam family "Bacterial small subunit ribosomal RNA", at positions 338 to 795 of the family's 1533-position model. The record is from RNAcentral.